RNAcentral lists this ribosomal RNA (460 nucleotides) under uncultured bacterium. RNAcentral describes it as "partial 16S ribosomal RNA". It matches the Rfam family "Bacterial small subunit ribosomal RNA", at positions 338 to 795 of the family's 1533-position model. The record is from RNAcentral.
CCUACGGGUGUCAGCAGUGAGGAAUAUUGGUCAAUGGGCGCGAGCCUGAACCAGCCAAGCAGCGUGAAGGAUGACUGCCCUACGGGUUGUAAACUUCUUUUAUAAAGGAAUAAAGUGCGGCACGUGUGCCCUUUUGUAUGUACUUUAUGAAUAAGGAUCGGCUAACUCCGUGCCAGCAGCCGCGGUAAUCCGGAGGAUCCGAGCGUUAUCCGGAUUUAUUGGGUUUAAAGGGAGCGUAGGUGGUUUGUUAAGUCAGUGGUGAAAGUUUGGGGCUCAACCGUAAAAAUGCAAUUGAAACUGGCAGCCUUGAGAACAGUUGAGGUAGGCGGAAUGCGUGGUGUAGCGGUGAAAUGCUUAGAUAUCACGAAGAACUCCGAUUGCGAAGGCAGCUUACUAAACUGCAACUGACAUUGAUGCUCGAAAGUGUGGGUAUCAAACAGGAUUAGAUACCCCAGUAGUC